AGAGACAUCACAUCCUAGUGGGAGGAGAGGAGAAUGGUUUGCAGUUGUGCAGGGCAAUUUGCUCCAUGGGAAAGAGGGGUCACAGGUUACAAGGAGAGUAGAGGGAGCAAGGCCCAUGGUUGUAACCCUAGCCACUCAGGAGGCUGAAAUGUGAGGAUGGAGGUUUGAAGUCAGCCUAAACAGAGUCUUUGUUGUUGUUUUAAAUUUAGGUCACAGACUGGGACUCAAACUCACUAUUUGAUGUUUUUUCAACUCAGUGGCUUUGGCUCUUCAACCCCUCCACACCUCCAACCACUCCCUAAGACUCUUAUCUCCAACUAACAACCAAAAAGCCAGAGUGGAGCUGCAGUUCCAAGAGACAGAGCACCAGCCUUGAGGAAACAAGCUCAGGCACAGCACCCAGGUCAUGAAUUCAAGCCCCAGGACUGGCAUUCCCCAUCACCUCGUGAGUGGGCAGCAGAGGACCACCUUCGCCAUGUACUCAGGACUGACUUCUGGAAAGAGGUAUUACCUGAGGAAGAGGAAAGAAAAGGAGCCAGGGAUGGCAGCUGUGACUCAGUUGACAUUCAGGGACUUGGCUGUGGAUUUCACCCAAGAGGAAUGGCCAUGCCUGACC
Molecule: long non-coding RNA, 616 nt
Organism: Perognathus longimembris pacificus (Pacific pocket mouse)
Lineage: Eukaryota; Metazoa; Chordata; Mammalia; Rodentia; Heteromyidae
Exons: 3
Source: RefSeq, a predicted model, not a curated record